This 376-nucleotide ribosomal RNA is filed under the name uncultured bacterium. RNAcentral describes it as "bacterial SSU rRNA". It matches the Rfam family "Bacterial small subunit ribosomal RNA", at positions 523 to 897 of the family's 1533-position model. The record is from RNAcentral.
AUACGUAGGUGGCGAGCGUUGUCCGGAAUUACUGGGUGUAAAGGGUGCGUAGGCGGGUUGACAAGUCAGAUGUGAAAUCCCAUGGCUUAACUGUGGGACUGCAUUUGAAACUGUUGGCCUUGAGUGCAGGAGAGGUAAGCGGAAUUCCCAGUGUAGCGGUGAAAUGCGUAGAUAUUGGGAGGAACACCAGUGGCGAAGGCGGCUUACUGGACUGCAACUGACGCUGAUGCACGAAAGCGUGGGGAUCAAACAGGAUUAGAUACCCUGGUAGUCCACGCUGUAAACGAUGGAUACUAGGUGUAGGGGGUAUCGACCCCUCCUGUGCCGGAGUAAACACAAUAAGUAUCCCACCUGGGGAGUACGGCCGCAAGGUUGA